This 421-nucleotide small RNA is filed under the name Pan troglodytes (chimpanzee). Its description in RNAcentral is "retained intron". Lineage: Eukaryota; Metazoa; Chordata; Mammalia; Primates; Hominidae. The record is from RNAcentral.
GCUGUUCAGGAUGGUGGGCGAGAUCUUCAUCUACUGGUCCAAGUCCCACAACUUCAAGCGCGAGGAGCAGAACUUUGUGGUCCAGAAUGAGAUCAACAACAUGUCCUUCCUGACUGCUGACAACAAAAGCAAAAUGGCUAAGGUCGGGGCUUGGUUCUGGGAGGAGCAGUUGGCAGAGAGGGCGGGAGCACCCUCUAGGGCUUCCUACCUGGCCUGUCCUCACCCAGCCAGCCCGUCCUGGGCGCAUUCCCUGCAGUCCUCAGAGCAGCCUCUCUUACCUCCUCUCCCUCUCCCUUCCUCCCCAGCUCCUUCCUCCUCCUAUAUCUUCUCCCUCCUCCCAUCUCCCUCCUCCUCUCCAUCUCCCUCUUCUCUCAUCCCUGUCUCCUUCCUCCUCCUGUAUCUUCUCCCUCCUCCCAUUUCC